AUGAAGAAAGUGGGUCAGAAAUGUAACGGCGUGAAACUGUAUGAGUGGAGUGUUGGUGAUUUGUCAUGCUCAGAGAGCCAGGAGGAUGAAGAUCUUGGGGAUAUCCAAAGAUCUUGGAGGGCUUCAGACCCACAUCAGAGCAGACCAGUCAUGAAGGGAAGCAUCUAACUAACUCCUCAUGGAAUAUUUAAGCAGAUGUGAUCAGUACUGUAAGCUUUAUUCCUAUAUAUUUUUGGGUCUUAUCGUUAAGAUGCAAUCUACACCCUCCCACCUUGAAAGAGAAAGGGAACAUUCUUAAUAAAGAAUACUAAUAUAUGCUAUUGAAAUAAUAAAAUAGAAAGUCAUCAUUUGGUAAUAUCAAGAAAUAAUUGAUUCACAAAGGGUCAAUAACAGGUUUAAGUCAUUGGUUAAAAGGGUCUUAAAAAAGACAGGACGUUUAUGGAGUUUCAAACCAUAAUCUCACAGGUCACAUCUGAACUGAGGAAAGAGAUUCUUAAUAACGGAGACAAGUGGAGACUCCCACCUUAACCAACAAAAGUGAUCAAAUUUAACACCAAUAAUAGGAUAAACUAGCAUUAUGUGCCUCCUGAUGUGAUUCAAAGUCAGUUACAUGAUAUCCUCCACAAAAGGUUUAACUUGAAUCCCAUUACGAGGAAACAGAAAAAUCCAAAAUUUGGGGCAUUUCACCAAGACAGCUAGCCUGAAACUUUCUAAACAAUUGCCCCUGAAUAACUAUAAACAGGACUUCCCUGGUAGCUCAGCCGGCGAAUCUGCCUGCCAUGCACGAGACCCUGGUUCAAUUCCUGGGUUGAGAAGAUCUGCUGGUGCAGGGAUAGGCUGCCCACUCCAGUAUUGUUGNNNUUCCCUGGUGGCUCAGCUGGUAAAGAAUUCGCCUGCAAUGUGGGAGACCUCGGUUUGAUCCCUGGGUUGGAAAGAUCUCCUGGGAAAGGGAACAGUUACCUACUCCAGUAUUCUGGCCUGGAGAAUUCUACGGACCAUAUGUGAAAAAUGCUGGCCUGGAAGAAACACAAGCUGGAAUCAAGAUUGCCUGGAGAAAUAUCAAUA
RNAcentral lists this long non-coding RNA (1065 nucleotides) under Capra hircus (goat). Its description in RNAcentral is "lncRNA (ENSCHIG00010008724.1)". Lineage: Eukaryota; Metazoa; Chordata; Mammalia; Artiodactyla; Bovidae. The record is from RNAcentral.